UGGGGAAUAUUGGGCAAUGGAGGCAACUCUGACCCAGCAACGCCGCGUGAAUGAAGAAGGUCUUCGGAUUGUAAAGUUCUUUAGUGAGGGACGAAUAAAUGACGGUACCUCGAGAAUAAGCCACGGCUAACUACGUGCCAGCAGCCGCGGUAAUACGUAGGUGACGAGCGUUAUCCGGGUUUACUGGGUGUAAAGGGCGCGUAGGCGGGGAUACAAGUCAGGUGUGAAAUCUAUGGGCUUAAUCCAUAAACUGCACUUGAAACUGUAUCUCUUGAGUGUCGGAGAGGUAGACGGAAUUCCUAGUGUAGCGGUGAAAUGCGUAGAUAUUAGGAGGAACACCAGUGGCGAAGGCGGUCUACUGGACGAUAACUGACGCUGAGGCGCGAAAGCGUGGGGAGCAAACAGGAUUAGAUUACCCUGGUAGU
RNAcentral lists this ribosomal RNA (425 nucleotides) under uncultured Oscillospiraceae bacterium. Its description in RNAcentral is "bacterial SSU rRNA". It matches the Rfam family "Bacterial small subunit ribosomal RNA", at positions 355 to 794 of the family's 1533-position model. Lineage: Bacteria; Bacillati; Bacillota; Clostridia; Eubacteriales; Oscillospiraceae. The record is from RNAcentral.